CUUUUCUUUCUCUUUUUCUUCUCUCUUUUUCUUCUUUCUCUUCGGGCCGAACCCUAGCCUCCUUGUGCCGCUGACGCUUCUUCCGUUCGGUGGUGCGACGGCGAUGGUGGUGUCACGGUGGCAGUGCGGCAACGGUGGUUGCGGGAUCGACGGCGGGGCAUGGUGAGCAGGGCACUCCCGAAUGCUGAUUGGGGGUGGUCUUGUCAUGCCCAGAAGGACCAAAAUGUAAAGGGUGCAAAGUUUUUGGGGUAAAAAUGUAAUUUCAAGAAAAUAUGGGGCAAAAAUGUAAUUUCUAGAAAGUUUAGGGCCUAAAUGUAAUUUACAAAAUAUUAGGGGUCAAGAUGCAAAUUCAAAAAGGUUAGGGGUCACAAUGUAAAUUUGGAAAAGUUUAAGGGCCAAAAUAUAAUUUAUAUUUUUUGUA
Long non-coding RNA from Gossypium raimondii (Peruvian cotton), 421 nucleotides. RefSeq lists it as uncharacterized. The transcript is spliced from 3 exons. The record is from RefSeq and is a predicted model, not a curated record. Lineage: Eukaryota; Viridiplantae; Streptophyta; Magnoliopsida; Malvales; Malvaceae.